CCUACGGGGGGCAGCAGUGGGGAAUAUUGCACAAUGGGGGAAACCCUGAUGCAGCGACGCCGCGUGAGUGAAGAAGUAUUUCGGUAUGUAAAGCUCUGUCAGCAGGGAAGAAAAUGACGGUACCUGACCAAGAAGCCCCGGCUAACUACGUGCCAGCAGCCGCGGUAAUACGUAGGUGGCAAGCGUUAUCCGGAUUUACUGGGUGUAACGGGAGCGUAGGCGGCGGGGCAAGUCUGGAGUGAAAGGCGGGGGCUCAACCCCCGGACUGCUCUGGAAACUGCCAGGCUGGAGUGCAGGAGAGGUAAGUGGAAUGCGUGGUGUAGCGGUGAAAUGCGUAGAUAUUAGGAGGAACACCAGUGGCGAAGGCGGCUUACUGGACUGUAACUGACGUUGAGGCACGAAAGCGUGGGGAGCAAACAGGAUUAGAUACCCUUGUAGUC
This 440-nucleotide ribosomal RNA is filed under the name uncultured bacterium. RNAcentral describes it as "partial 16S ribosomal RNA". It matches the Rfam family "Bacterial small subunit ribosomal RNA", at positions 338 to 795 of the family's 1533-position model. The record is from RNAcentral.